This 253-nucleotide ribosomal RNA is filed under the name uncultured bacterium. RNAcentral describes it as "partial 16S ribosomal RNA". It matches the Rfam family "Bacterial small subunit ribosomal RNA", at positions 524 to 776 of the family's 1533-position model. The record is from RNAcentral.
UACGUAGGGUGCGAGCGUUAAUCGGAAUUACUGGGCGUAAAGCGUGCGCAGGCGGUUGUGCAAGACAGAUGUGAAAUCCCCGGGCUCAACUUGGGAACUGCAUUUGUGACUGCAUCGCUGGAGUGCGGCAGAGGGGGAUGGAAUUCCGCGUGUAGCAGUGAAAUGCGUAGAUAUGCGGAGGAACACCGAUGGCGAAGGCAAUCCCCUGGGCCUGCACUGACGCUCAUGCACGAAAGCGUGGGGAGCAAACAGG